This 467-nucleotide ribosomal RNA is filed under the name uncultured bacterium. RNAcentral's name for it is "partial 16S ribosomal RNA". It matches the Rfam family "Bacterial small subunit ribosomal RNA", at positions 28 to 507 of the family's 1533-position model. The record is from RNAcentral.
GAUGAACGCUGGCGGCGUGCUUAACACAUGCAAGUCGAACGGAAAGGCCCAAGCUUGCUUGGGUACUCGAGUGGCGAACGGGUGAGUAACACGUGGGUGAUCUGCCCUGCACUUCGGGAUAAGCCUGGGAAACUGGGUCUAAUACCGGCUAGGACCACAUUUUGGAUGGUGUGGUGGAAAGUUUUUCGGUGUGGGAUGAGCUCGCGGCCUAUCAGCUUGUUGGUGGGGUAAUGGCCUACCAAGGCGUCGACGGGUAGCCGGCCGGAGAGGGUGUACGGGCACAUUGGGACUGAGAUACGGCCCAGACUCCUACGGGAGGCGGCAGUGGGGAAUAUUGCACAAUGGGCGCAAGCCUGAUGCAGCGACGCCGCGUGGGGGAUGACGGCCUUCGGGUUGUAAACUCCUUUCGCUAGGGACGAAGCGUUUUUGUGACGGUACCUGGAGAAGAAGCACCGGCUAACUACGUG